AUGAACGUUGGCGGCGUGGAUUAGGCAUGCAAGUCGAGCGAGAACCCCGCAAGGGGGGACAGCGGCGCAAGGGACAGUAAUGUGUAGAUCAUCUGCCCUCGGGUCCGGGAUAGCUGCGGGAAACUGCAGGUAAUACCGGUUAACAUCUCCGGAUCAAAGGUGUGAUUCCGCCUGAGGAUGAGUCUACAUCCUAUUAGCUAGUUGGUAGGGUAACGGCCUACCAAGGCGAUGAUGGGUAGCGGGUGUGAGAGCACGACCCGCGUCAUUGGGACUGAGACACUGCCCAGACACCUACGGGUGGCUGCAGUCGAGAAUCUUCGGCAAUGGGCGCAAGCCUGACCGAGCGACGCCGCGUGUGGGAUGAAGGCCUUCGGGUUGUAAACCACUGUCAGAGGGGAUGAAACGGUCGGCUUUAAUAAAGUCGGCUAAUGACGGUACCUGCAGAAGAAGCACCGGCUAACUACGU
RNAcentral lists this ribosomal RNA (466 nucleotides) under uncultured bacterium. Its description in RNAcentral is "bacterial SSU rRNA". It matches the Rfam family "Bacterial small subunit ribosomal RNA", at positions 29 to 506 of the family's 1533-position model. The record is from RNAcentral.